GGGGGUGUAGCUCAGUGGUAGAGCAUGUGCUUAGCAUGCACAUGGCCCCGGGUUCAAUCACCGGCACCUCCA
Sorex fumeus (smoky shrew) is the source of this 72-nucleotide non-coding RNA. NCBI's taxonomy places the organism in Eukaryota, Metazoa, Chordata, Mammalia, Eulipotyphla, Soricidae. The record is from the annotation of a RefSeq genome assembly.